This is a non-coding RNA of Pan troglodytes (chimpanzee), 117 nucleotides long. It matches the Rfam family "Metazoan signal recognition particle RNA". Rfam says of the family: The signal recognition particle (SRP) is a universally conserved ribonucleoprotein. It is involved in the co-translational targeting of proteins to membranes. The eukaryotic SRP consists of a 300-nucleotide 7S RNA and six proteins: SRPs 72, 68, 54, 19, 14, and 9. The record is from Rfam. Lineage: Eukaryota; Metazoa; Chordata; Mammalia; Primates; Hominidae.
GCCAGGCGUGGUGGCUCACGCCUGUAAUCCCAACACUUUGGGAGGCCGAGGCGGGUGGAUCACCUGAGGUCAGGAGUUCAAGACCAGCCUGGCCAACAUGGUGAAACCCUGUCUCUA